RNAcentral lists this ribosomal RNA (429 nucleotides) under Actinomycetes bacterium. RNAcentral's name for it is "Actinobacteria bacterium partial 16S ribosomal RNA". It matches the Rfam family "Bacterial small subunit ribosomal RNA", at positions 355 to 776 of the family's 1533-position model. Lineage: Bacteria; Bacillati; Actinomycetota; Actinomycetes. The record is from RNAcentral.
UAGGGAAUCUUCCGCAAUGGGCGAAAGCCUGACGGAGCAACGCCGCGUGAGUGAUGAAGGUCUUCGGAUCGUAAAACUCUGUUAUUAGGUAAGAACAAAUGUGUAAGUAACUAUGCACGUCUUGACGGUACCUAAUCAGAAAGUCACGGCUAACUACGUGCCAGCAGCCGCGGUAAUACGUAGGUGGCAAGCGUUAUCCGGAAUUAUUGGGCGUAAAGCGCGCGUAGGCGGUUUUUUAAGUCUGAUGUGAAAGCCCACGGCUCAACCGUGGAGGGUCAUUGGAAACUGGAAAACUUGAGUGCAGAAGAGGAAAGUGGAAUUCCAUGUGUAGCGGUGAAAUGCGCAGAGAUAUGGAGGAACACCAGUGGCGAAGGCGACUUUCUGGUCUGUAACUGACGCUGUUGUGCGAAAGCGUGGGGAUCAAACAGG